AUUGAACGCUGGCGGCAUGCUUUACACAUGCAAGUCGAACGGUAACAGGCCUUCGGGUGCUGACGAGUGGCGAACGGGUGAGUAAUGCAUCGGAACGUACCCAGAGGUGGGGGAUAACGCAGCGAAAGCUGUGCUAAUACCGCAUGUGAUCUGAGGAUGAAAGCGGGGGACCGAGCAGCAAUGUUUGGCCUCGCGCCUUUGGAGCGGCCGAUGUCGGAUUAGCUGGUUGGUGGGGUAAAGGCCUACCAAGGCGACGAUCCGUAGCUGGUCUGAGAGGACGACCGGCCACACUGGGACUGAGACACGGCCCAGACUCCUACGGGAGGCAGCAGUGGGGAAUUUUGGACAAUGGGCGCAAGCCUGAUCCAGCAAUGCCGCGUGCGGGAAGAAGGCCUUCGGGUUGUAAACCGCUUUUGGCAGGAACGAAACGGUGUCCGCUAAUACCGGGCGCUAAUGACGGUACCUGCAGAAUAAGCACCGGCUAACUACGUG
This 492-nucleotide ribosomal RNA is filed under the name uncultured bacterium. RNAcentral's name for it is "partial 16S ribosomal RNA". It matches the Rfam family "Bacterial small subunit ribosomal RNA", at positions 29 to 507 of the family's 1533-position model. The record is from RNAcentral.